This 3258-nucleotide long non-coding RNA is filed under the name Equus caballus (horse). RNAcentral describes it as "lncRNA (ENSECAG00000047588.1)". Lineage: Eukaryota; Metazoa; Chordata; Mammalia; Perissodactyla; Equidae. The record is from RNAcentral.
GUAUUGGGGGUGGGACACAGGGUAUAUGAGAAACCUUUGUACCUUCCUCUCAAUUUUGUUGUGAACUUCAAACUACUCUAAAAAAUUAAAUCUGUAAAAAACCACAAUAUACCUCCACACAGAAGUGUUGCAGCUCAGUCUUUCCACCACCAUUCACAGAGAAUGCACCUUGGGCGAUCAAAUGCCUUACCUGAAUUUGAAGCUCAGGAAUAUGAUAACCUUAGUCUGUCUUUCUCUUAAAAUAAAAGUAGCUUUUUUUUCUGAAGAUAAAAAUGACAUAUGCUGAUUAAAAGAAAGUAAAAAUUAUUUCCACCUCUUAACAUCUCCUGAACAUUCCUCCUGCUAUCUCUAGGCAGAUUAGAUAGGUGGAUCAUAGAAAGAUGGAUGAUUUAUGGAGUUUCAUAUAAAUGAUACUAUGGUAUAGAUACUGUAAUAUAUCAGGCUUUGUUUUUACUAACAGUGUAGUUUGACAUUCCGUCAAGACAUCUAAUUCUAUACCAUUAUAAAGGCCACACUGAUUCAUAACUAUGAUCUAUUGGACCUGUAUCCUUGUUGGUGUUGUUAAGCCCUCUUGUGAGGGUGGGGCAAGACAAGUAGCCAUGGAAAGCCCAACGCUGGGGCAAAAGAUGUCUUUGAGGAAGGAAUCAAGCACCACACUCCGCAUGGAGCAAACCUUCAGGAAACCGAGACCUCUUGAUUUCUGAUUACUUGAAAUUCUAGGGCUACCAUCAGCCUAAACUCUUGAAGCCUAGCUGAGCCUGAUAAAGACUAGCUUUAGACUAACGCGAAAUUUUGACCCCAAAACUAACGCAGUGGAUGCACAAGACCUUAAGAGCCAUGCUGUUCCGAGAGCACUCCUGCAGCUCAACAGAGAAGCUCAGGCAUGCUCCCGCCUCGCCGGGGGGCUCACCACCUCUCUGAGCUUCUACCCUCUGUUCUAGAAACACUCCAGGAUUUCAUGCUUGCCCUCCUUGCUUCCAUCAAUGUGUUCCUGCUCUUUGUUACAUGCUGGGAAGAUACGUUCUCUUUUUUUGAACACUGAAGUUGGAGCCAAUUUUUUCAGUGCUAUUCUUCAUUCAACAAGUAUUAACUGAAGGCCUACCGUGGCUGUGCAGUCUUCUAGGUCCAGGGAUACGGCAGCAAGCAAGAUGGAAGUGAAUGCCGGUGGGAGCGACGAGAAGGUCCAUCUUCACGUAAUUAAAAGGAGAUGUAAGUGAAGGCCUCCUCCCCAUUCUCACUUUUUACACAAACUAUUCUAGGUACAAAUUUUGAUUUUCAGUGGUGGGAGGUGGGAGGGAGAAGGGAAAUGUUCUGACACGUAACUUUGUGUGCAUCUUCUCUCUAAAAUCGAUCAAUGGAAGAAGCUCCCGGAACCUCAGAGAGGAGCAAUGUUUGUUUGCUGUUUGUCACUCUUCCCCUAAGAACACGUCUGUUCUUCCACUAGGGUGACACUCUGCCCCCUCGGGAAGCAUUUGCCACCCCUGGAGACCCACAGAUCUCUGGGAGCAGGAAACUCUCCAUUCAGUAGGAAACUGUUACCUUUUGGAACUUUAUCCCAAACCUGGGGUCCCUGGAGGAAGCUUGGCUCGCUCUUGACAGCCGCCCCUCUGCCAGUACCUCCCCCCUCCUCUCCAGCCUUCUGUGAUCUCUUUCUCAUUCCUAGGUGUUCUUUGGAGACAUUUAAUUUUGUAAAUAAGAAGAUAUCAGUUACUGUUAUUUUUUAAAUGGCACUCAGGAAUGUUUACCCCAACUUUGGAGACAUGGCACUGACCUGAAGUGCAACUGGGGGGCGGGGGUGACGUCCAUUCUAGAUGGUGAGAUAUUGUCAAGGCAGCCAGCACCUGGGGACCCCAGCUUCCUGCACAUCAAAAUGGGGGGCCAGGGGCUGGCCCGGUGGCGGAGUGGUUAAGUUCACACACUCUGCUUCGGCGGCCCAGGGUUUCGCCAGUUCGAAUCCUAGGCGCGGACAUGGCACUGCUCAUCAAGCCAUGCUGAGGCAGCUUCCCACAUGCCACAACUAGAAGGACCCACAACUAAAAAUGCACAACUGUGUACCAGGGGGCUUUGGGAGAAAAGGGAAAAAAUAAAAUCUAAAAAAAAAAAAAAUGAGGGGACAUGUUCUCUUGAUUUAUAUACCAUCUCUUCUACCAAAGAGCACACAGCAUCUUAACAAGAUUUUUAGCCCUCAUAAUAUUGUCAUUCGGGAGAAAAGGUACUUUAUUUCAUUUUUACUCCAUCAGAGAACAGCAUGAUCAAGAGGAGGGUGGUUCCAGCUACCGCCUCAGCCCCAAGCUGCUUGCCAAGAGUUACAAACUUCAUGUCACUCAGUAUCAGAGGCUGAAAGUCCAAGAUCAAGGCAUCAGCAGAUCUAAGGUCUGCAGGGGACCCUCUUUCUAGUGCACAGAUGGUGUCUUCUCACUGUGUCCUCACACGGUGGAAGGGGUGAGGGAGCCCUCUCGGGUCGCUAACCCCAUUCCUGAGGGCUCCACCCUCAGGACCUGAGCACCUCCUAAAGGCCCCCUCCUGACACCAGCACACGGUGGGUGAGGAUUCAACAUUGGAACUGGAGAGGACGCAGAUAUUCAGUCUACAGCAUCUGUGCCGCAAAGAGCCAUCUUCCUGUCAGAUCUUGUCAGAUGAGUCCUGCAUGUUUUUAAUCUGGAAAGGUGGCUGACAAAGAGCUUCUGCUCAGAGGAGGCAAAAAAGAAGGAAGUGCUCACGGAAGGAUGGGGAUAUGCCAAAAGGGCAUAGAAGCCAACCUGCUGGAGCUCCCAAUGGCGAAAGCUGGACCGAGUUGAGCAAAAAAAACAAAUAAUGAUAGCAGUGGAUUCUAAUUCAUAGAAUAAUAUAAAUAUUCAUGGGUCCAUAUUGAUACAAAAAAUGCAAACCAGUGAGAGGAGAGAACUCAUGUGUUGUGCCUGCUACUCACUGCUGUGUCUCCCCUGGGGCCAGAACACAACAUGGUGCACAGUCGGCGGUAACUGCUCAGAGUGGAAUGAAGGAGCUGUUGGUGUCACCCAUGCACAGGUGCUGGCGAUGCCAGUGAGUGAGGGCUUAGAAGCCACUGCCCUCAUGGGGCUCACCCUCCGGGAGCAGAGAUUAGCCGUCACAAUGCCAACAAGUGAAGAAGUAGAGUGUGCAGAGCCAAGCAGAGCUGAGCGGAGAGAAUAAGGCAAGUGUGAGUGUGUGAGGGUGAGUGAGGGCACACAGAGGGUCCCCACACGGUGAUCUUUGAGUAAAGCCUGAAGGAAGACCAGG